Molecule: long non-coding RNA, 297 nt
Filed under: Coturnix japonica (Japanese quail)
Lineage: Eukaryota; Metazoa; Chordata; Aves; Galliformes; Phasianidae
Description: lncRNA (ENSCJPG00005003570.1)
Source: RNAcentral
AAGGAAAACAAAACAAAACAAGCACAAAAAAAACCCGCAAAACAAUCACAUCUCCACCGCGUGUUGAAGCUCCUCUCUGCAAUUCUGCAUCUCCAGGGAAGAUAGUGACAUCAGGUCCAUGAAAAUAACUCUCAGAAUGCAUGUUGCUGAAAACCUUGUAAGCGAGUUAAAAAGAAAAUCUGAACAGUGAAAAAGCAAUGUAUAAGUGAGAUUAAUAAGACUCCAGCUGAAAAGUGAGUUUCUUAAAAAUAUAUGACUGUCCUACAAAAAGAAUGCAUAAGAGGUAGAAAAAUUAUG